Molecule: long non-coding RNA, 678 nt
Organism: Pungitius pungitius (ninespine stickleback)
Lineage: Eukaryota; Metazoa; Chordata; Actinopteri; Perciformes; Gasterosteidae
Exons: 3
Source: RefSeq, a predicted model, not a curated record
AGUUCUCACAUGUCCUCUAAUGUUAAGUUUCCUUUGUAAUAGAUGGGAGACACAAUCCUCCUGUGUCCUCUGUAAAGACACCUUCCAGUUUUGUCCUCAUCUCCUUCCUCAAUGGGUGGAUCAGUUUACAGCAUCUAAGACAUGCCAAAGACUGCAGCACCAACUGAACUGUCUAACACCAUUAGACCUCAUAGAGACACAUUUUACUUCCUGGCUGUCCGAGUCAUCUUUAAAGCACAGGAUGAGAAAACACCUGCUGGUCUUUGCCUCACUUUUUCUCUGACUCUGAGAUUCUGGAUCAGCUCAUACCGAACAAGACAUCAUGCCACCACAGAGCAGAUGUUGGAGCACUAUCUUAACUGUCAGUGGACACCUCACGGCUGGACCACAGAGACACGUGUUCUCUCUGUCAGUUUCGAGUUUUUUUCACAACAGAUAAUAAGCUCCUUCUCCUCUGUGAUUUCUCCACUUCACAAUGAAGACACUCAGGACUGCAGAAAGGGCUAAACACACAAAUGAAGAUCAUGCAGCGUAUUCAGUUGCACUGGCGAUACAAGUUGUUCUGCCCUGCAGCCCGAGUUCAAGGACCAGCAUUGUCCUCCUACCCCCCUGUCUCCAUUUGUGCAUCCAUUGGUGCCCACUGGUCCGUUCAGCAGAGACUAACAGUUGGUUCUUAAG